RNAcentral lists this ribosomal RNA (497 nucleotides) under uncultured bacterium. RNAcentral describes it as "partial 16S ribosomal RNA". It matches the Rfam family "Bacterial small subunit ribosomal RNA", at positions 28 to 507 of the family's 1533-position model. The record is from RNAcentral.
GAUGAACGCUGGCGGCGUGCCUAAUACAUGCAAGUCGAGCGAACGGACGAGAAGCUUGCUUCUCUGAUGUUAGCGGCGGACGGGUGAGUAACACGUGGAUAACCUACCUAUAAGACUGGGAUAACUUCGGGAAACCGGAGCUAAUACCGGACGAUAUUUUGAACCGCAUGGUUCAAAAGUGAAAGACGGUCUUGCUGUCACUUAUAGAUGGAUCCGCGCUGCAUUAGCUAGUUGGUAAGGUAACGGCUUACCAAGGCAACGAUGCAUAGCCGACCUGAGAGGGUGAUCGGCCACACUGGAACUGAGACACGGUCCAGACUCCUACGGGAGGCAGCAGUAGGGAAUCUUCCGCAAUGGGCGAAAGCCUGACGGAGCAACGCCGCGUGAGUGAUGAAGGUCUUCGGAUCGUAAAACUCUGUUAUUAGGGAAGAACAUAUGUGUAAGUAACUGUGCACAUCUUGACGGUACCUAAUCAGAAAGCCACGGCUAACUACGUG